UACGCAGGGUGCUAGCGUUGAUCGGAAUCACUGGGCGUAAAGCGCACGUAGGCGGUUUGCUACGUCCGGGGUGAAAUCCUGGAGCUCAACUCCAGAACUGCCUUUGAUACUGGCGACCUUGAGUCCGGGAGAGGUGAGUGGAACUGCGAGUGUAGAGGUGAAAUUCGUAGAUAUUCGCAAGAACACCAGUGGCGAAGGCGGCUCACUGGCCCGGUACUGACGCUGAGGUGCGAAAGCGUGGGGAGCAAACAGG
This 253-nucleotide ribosomal RNA is filed under the name uncultured bacterium. RNAcentral describes it as "partial 16S ribosomal RNA". It matches the Rfam family "Bacterial small subunit ribosomal RNA", at positions 524 to 776 of the family's 1533-position model. The record is from RNAcentral.